ACUGGGUAAAUAACAGUCGUUCUAUUCUAAGCAUUAUUACGGACAAUAACGGUAGCGGGGUAGCCGCCGUUAGGGCAUAAAGCAUUAAUUUAUAGACCGCCUGGGCGUCCGAAGGCACGCGCCGCAGGCCCGCAAAAGAAGGCAACCUAGGGUUUCUAAGGGUGUCGAAAUCUCCUGCGAAGAAAACGAGAUUCCUCUAUCGUUUCUAGAUCCAGAAAAUAACGAUCCGUUUCAAAACCGUGGGAGGAGAAGCAUAAUGAGGAGUUAGAUCGGCUCAGUUCUCUCCUACGCGUCAGGUUUGGAUAUUCUUUUUCCGCCAAGAUGAGUUAUUUUAUAUGAUUCUCUGCCAGAUCUGUUUAUUCCAUCAUAUGUAACUAUUUUUAUGAUUUGAAAUAUGAAAUCAGUGCUAUCUUUUUAACAAAUUUUAUUGGAUACCGAAGUGGUGUGAGAACGGAUGCCAAAAGUUCGACAUCAUGACUGUUGACUGUUAUGGUUUACUACGCAAAAUUUGGAGAGAAAAGGUGGCA
RNAcentral lists this long non-coding RNA (527 nucleotides) under Phoenix dactylifera (date palm). Its description in RNAcentral is "long non-coding RNA (PDAC_LNC015940)". The record is from RNAcentral. Lineage: Eukaryota; Viridiplantae; Streptophyta; Magnoliopsida; Arecales; Arecaceae.